UACGUAGGGUCCGAGCGUUGUCCGGAAUUAUUGGGCGUAAAGGGCUCGUAGGCGGUCUGUUGCGUCGGGAGUGAAAACUUACAGCUUAACUGUGAGCGUGCUUCCGAUACGGGCAGACUUGAGGUAUUCAGGGGAGAACGGAAUUCCUGGUGUAGCGGUGAAAUGCGCAGAUAUCUGGAGGAACACCGGUGGCGAAGGCGGCAUCCUGGACCGGCAUUGACGCUGAGGCGCGAAAGCCAGGGGAGCAAACGGG
This 253-nucleotide ribosomal RNA is filed under the name uncultured bacterium. RNAcentral describes it as "partial 16S ribosomal RNA". It matches the Rfam family "Bacterial small subunit ribosomal RNA", at positions 524 to 776 of the family's 1533-position model. The record is from RNAcentral.